GCAGUGGCAGCAGGCAGUGGCCGGUUGGUGCCGCGGUCUGGUGUUCUCUCAGCAGACUGCAGCCUCAGCCUCUGCCACCCCCAGCGGUGUUGGGGCAUCUGCGUGUGCAGAGCCAGAAGGUCCCUGAGGAUCUUCACCGAGGGCUUGUGGUGGUGACGACUUGAGAGUGCCUCAGGCAGAGCAGAGCAGAGCUGUGCUGUGCAGCACUCUCUUAGUCCCAGCCAUGGACCCCAUCUAUAUCCUCUUGCCAAUUCUCUUGGUCUCCCUCACGAUGAAUGUCUUGGACUGGUGGGGAAGGAAGCUGAGGCGUAAGAGGAAGGAGGAGAAAGCUGCAGCCAAAGCUCAGCGAAAGGCUGAGCAAGAAUUAAGGCAGCGAAAGGCCUCAGUGAGAGCUUCUGAGCAGGUGGCUGAACAAGAGCAGGAACCAAGGCCGACCCCAGAGCAACUGAGAAGCGUGGGGCAGAAGCUGCGGAGGCGACUGGCUCGGAUCUGUCUCUGGCUCUGCCUCCACUGCUGCUGCCCCUGUUUGCAGAUGUGGGCCCUGAAGAAGCAGGGGACAGCCCGCGGUGGGGGGAUGGGGACUUGUGGGCUGCAGAAAUGGGCUUCAGCUUUUCAACACAGGCAAAGCCCUGUCCCUGCAGAGGCUUUGCGCUGCAAGUCAGGGAGCAGGAGGCUGCCCUGCUGCCUCCCACCACCUGCUCAGCUGCUCAGUGCCGGAAAGUGGAAGUGUCCAUUGGAGAGAUUUCAACCGAAAGGAAGGAGGGCUCCGUAAUCGUCUCACCCAGUUCCCCUUCCCCUCCUGGAACAGCAGCGGUGGAAACAGGAAAGUGCGGUAGGGCGCUGCGGGCUCCCCUUCCCCCCCUGCUCCAAAGUCCCCUUUCCCCCCUGCUCCAAAGUCCCCUUUCCCCCCUGCUCCAAAGUCCCCUUUCCCCCCUGCUCCAAAGUCCCCUUUCCCCCCUGCUCCAAAGUCCCCUUUCCCCCCUGCUCCAAAGUCCCCUUCCCCCUUGCUCUGGUCCCCUUGCCCUCCCCUGGCUCUGGGUUCCCUUCCCCCCUGCCACAAUGUCCCCUUCCCCCCCUGCUCCGGGCUCCCCUUCCCCCCCUGCUCCGGGCUCCUCUUUCCCCCUCCCCUCCAAAGUCCCCUUCCCUCUGCUCCAAACUCCUUUCUCACUGCGUCUGCUGAGUGCUGAAUGGGGAGAGACAAGGCAAGGAGUUGCCUUUCCCUCCCCUGCAGGCUCGGUCAGGGACAGGCAAAAGCCUUUUCCUGCCGCUCCCGCAGGGCACUCACCUUUAGUUCCCUUAGGUCCGUGCGGUUCCUUUAGGUUCUUUAGGUGGAGUAGAAGCAAGAAGGCUCCCAGAGGACAGUCGUCGGAGGGGGACUGGGGGGGGGUGGGGGGAGGUGUGGGCGGGGAUCUGGGGGGGUGGUAAAGUGGGACUAGAUUGUAUCAGUGAGGAAAUAAAGGGCACUGAGAAAGCCCAAGUGCUGUGAGUGCA
Molecule: long non-coding RNA, 1491 nt
Organism: Pogoniulus pusillus (Red-fronted tinkerbird)
Lineage: Eukaryota; Metazoa; Chordata; Aves; Piciformes; Lybiidae
Exons: 3
Source: RefSeq, a predicted model, not a curated record